RNAcentral lists this ribosomal RNA (253 nucleotides) under uncultured bacterium. Its description in RNAcentral is "partial 16S ribosomal RNA". It matches the Rfam family "Bacterial small subunit ribosomal RNA", at positions 524 to 776 of the family's 1533-position model. The record is from RNAcentral.
UACGGAGGGGACUAGCGUUGUUCGGAAUUACUGGGCGUAAAGCGCACGUAGGCGGCUUUGUAAGUCAGGGGUGAAAUCCCGGGGCUCAACCUCGGAACUGCCUUUGAUACUGCAAAUCUCGAGUCCGGAAGAGGUGAGUGGAAUUCCUAGUGUAGAGGUGAAAUUCGUAGAUAUUAGGAAGAACACCGGUGGCGAAGGCGGCCCACUGGUCCGGUACUGACGCUGAGGUGCGAAAGCGUGGGGAGCAAACAGG